AGUCGAGCGAGGGGAGUUCUUCGGAAAAACCUAGCGGCGGACGGGUGAGUAACACGUGGGUAACCUGCCUCAGUGAGGGGGAUAGCCUUCCGAAAGGAAGAUUAAUACCGCAUAAUAUCUGAUGAUCACAUGGUCAUUUGAUUAAAGGAGUAAUCCGCACUGAGAUGGACCCGCGGCGCAUUAGCUAGUUGGUGAGGUAACGGCUCACCAAGGCCACGAUGCGUAGCCGACCUGAGAGGGUGAUCGGCCACAUUGGAACUGAGAUACGGUCCAGACUCCUACGGGAGGCAGCAGUGGGGAAUAUUGCACAAUGGGCGAAAGCCUGAUGCAGCAACGCCGCGUGAGUGAUGAAGGCCUUCGGGUUGUAAAACUCUGUCUUUGGGGACGAUAAUGACGGUACCCAAGGAGGAAGCCACGGCUAACUACGUGCCAGCAGCCGCGGUAAUACGUAGGUGGCAAGCGUUGUCCGGAUUUACUGGGCGUAAAGGAUGCGUAGGUGGAUAUGCAAGUCAGAUGUGAAAUACCCGGGCUUAACUCGGGUGCUGCAUUUGAAACUAUAUAUCUAGAGUGCAGGAGAGGUAAGUGGAAUUCCUAGUGUAGCGGUGAAAUGCGUAGAGAUUAGGAAGAACACCAGUGGCGAAGGCGACUUACUGGACUGUAACUGACACUGAGGCAUGAAAGCGUGGGGAGCAAACAGGAUUAGAUACCCUGGUAGUCCACGCCGUAAACGAUGGGUACUAGGUGUAGGGGGUAUCGAUUCCUUCUGUGCCGCAGUAACACAAUAAGUACCCCGCCUGGGGAGUACGGUCGCAAGAUUAAAACUCAAAGGAA
RNAcentral lists this ribosomal RNA (831 nucleotides) under uncultured Clostridiaceae bacterium. RNAcentral describes it as "bacterial SSU rRNA". It matches the Rfam family "Bacterial small subunit ribosomal RNA", at positions 60 to 909 of the family's 1533-position model. Lineage: Bacteria; Bacillati; Bacillota; Clostridia; Eubacteriales; Clostridiaceae. The record is from RNAcentral.